This is a non-coding RNA of Phasianus colchicus (ring-necked pheasant), 636 nucleotides long. Lineage: Eukaryota; Metazoa; Chordata; Aves; Galliformes; Phasianidae. The record is from the annotation of a RefSeq genome assembly.
AUGGGCUCUCUGAAGUUCUACGGUGUCUCAAUGGGGCUUGGCUGCACGACGCCGUGUGUCGGCGGCUCCGUCAGCGCCGUCUGUCCUUCCUUCCCCACAGGGCUGAUGGCAGCCGUGACGUUGGACGAGUCUGGGGGCGGCCUCCAGGCACCCGGAGGAGGGAUCAGCCUCGUCUGCAAGGGCUCUGGAUUCACCUUCAGCAGUUAUGCCAUGCACUGGGUGCGACAGGCACCAGGCAAGGGGCUGGAAUACGUCGCCAGUAUUAACAGUGGUGGUAGUAGCACAUACUACGCGCCGGCGGUGAAGGGCCGUGCCACCAUCUCCAGGGACAACGGGCAGAGCACAGUGAGGCUGCAGCUGAACAACCUCAGGGCUGAGGACACCGCCACCUACUACUGCGCCAAAGAUGGUGAUGAUUGUGGUGGUGCUUGUUGUGGUUAUGCUGCUGGUGGUGACAUGGACAUCACAGGGGUAUGUUUUCAUCUGCAUCUGGGAAGGUUCCAGCUGGGACGCAGAGCUCUGUGCUGGGAGCAGAGAGUUUUAUCCCCAGCUACACUGUCUCCAUUACCAUCACCAUUUCCAUACCUGUAUCCAUGUCUAUUUCAAGGCGCGUAUCCAUAACCAUGACCAUAACCA